UACGUAGGGUGCGAGCGUUGUCCGGAAUUACUGGGCGUAAAGAGCUCGUAGGUGGUUUGUCGCGUUGUUCGUGAAAACUCACAACUCAAUUGUGGGCGUGCGGGCGAUACGGGCAGACUGGAGUACUGCAGGGGAGACUGGAAUUCCUGGUGUAGCGGUGGAAUGCGCAGAUAUCAGGAGGAACACCGGUGGCGAAGGCGGGUCUCUGGGACGUUACUGACGCUGAGACGCGAAAGCGUGGGGAGCAAACAGG
RNAcentral lists this ribosomal RNA (253 nucleotides) under uncultured bacterium. Its description in RNAcentral is "partial 16S ribosomal RNA". It matches the Rfam family "Bacterial small subunit ribosomal RNA", at positions 524 to 776 of the family's 1533-position model. The record is from RNAcentral.